CUUUAAUUUGUACAAGAGGCCAAAAGAAAAAGUUUUAUUUUAAGUUUAUUAUACAGUAGUUGUAAUGUUCACGUGUCCUUUUUACUUCCAGAAGUGUUUUAUUUAAUUUAUUUUUUGCUGCUUGUUCUAGGUAUUCCUGUCUGUUGGUUGGUGUAGAUAGAGGACGUCUCUAAUCGCAAGUCUCCAGUUUGUGUUUUUAAUGACCUUUUCCAGACAUUUAAAUGGAACAGGACAGCAUAUCUCAGAAGGGGGAUUGUCUUACACUUUCUACUUGAUUUUAAGAUGGUUGCUCAUCCUGAAAGUUGUUUGAGCCAAGAGGAAAUAGACAUCCAUGGCUCAGUUUUGUUUCAACAGCCAUUACUAACUUAAGCUAACUGUAGCAACAGCUAGCUAAAAAUCAGUUGGAGAAAUGAGGUCCUGGCCCACGGACUGCUUUCUGGCUGGGAAGUUUGAGGUCCUGGCUGAGGCUGUCCUGAGACAGACCCACGUGCCUUGAAGACCUGCUCCUCCAAGAGUCUUGAGCAGAACUACCCGUAUGUCUUUGCUCCAGCACCUUUACUCACUCAUUUCCUUUAACCAUCAUCCUGGGUGUUCACUUGCCCUUUGAACCCUGGACAGGAUAUGUACAUUGUGUUUGGGAUUGACAGAUGGUUCUGCCAGUGCAGGGCUUCCACUGUAUGGUCUGAUGCAUGUUCACUGUCGGCAGUUCGUUGCACUUUGUUUUGAUGACUACAUUUCAUUUUUCUGUGACUAUUUAGUGGUGCAGAGACUUUUUUUUUUCCUCCAUCCUUUUUUUGUUCCACAUUCUAUCUUGUUGUAGCUCCGCCCUCAUUUACCAUUUCCAACAGACACGUAAUAUUCCCCCUGACAUCAUUUAGUUCCACCCCAUGUGACACCCGAUGUUGUCCAAUCAGACUCUGCUGGGAGUGGUUGGACAGCAUGUGGCUGUGUGGAGGCAGCCGAACUUCCCUCGGCUUGUCGUUACGGCUGCUCUGUAGACGACUAACUGUUGUUCGACACACUGAGGCCUCGUUUCAGGACAGGGGGAAUGGUUUUCCAUGAGUAACAUGUGUAUACAAUGUGAUUCAGAUUCUCUUUCAAUUCCAUGCACGUGUGAGAAGAUUGUAAAUUAUUUUCAUUUGAUUGUAAUUGAUUUUCGUUUUGUUGCUAUUUUACAUGUCAACCGUGUGACAUUCACUGACCACUUAAAUAGAUACGCCAGCCUCUUAACGCAAAACAGCGAAUCAUGUUGCUGCAACUCAGUAUAUGUGUGAAGCAUGCAGACACGGUCAAGAUAUUUAAUUGUUGUUCGACCAAACAUUAGAAUGGGAAAGACGUGCGACCUCAGCAACUUUGACCAUGUUGCUUCAUGCACUAUGGUCUCAGGUUUACAGAGCAUGGUGUCCUCAACAUAAGACACCCAGUGUGGCAGUUCUGCGAAUGAGCGAGGUCAGAGUAGAAUGAGCGAGGUCAGAGUAGAAUGAGCGAGGUCAGAGUAGAAUGAGCGAGGUCAGAGUAGAAUGAGCG
Esox lucius (northern pike) is the source of this 1527-nucleotide long non-coding RNA. NCBI's taxonomy places the organism in Eukaryota, Metazoa, Chordata, Actinopteri, Esociformes, Esocidae. The record is from Ensembl.